Molecule: ribosomal RNA, 529 nt
Filed under: Sordariomycetes sp. genotype 9
Lineage: Eukaryota; Fungi; Ascomycota; Sordariomycetes
Description: eukaryotic LSU rRNA
Rfam family: Eukaryotic large subunit ribosomal RNA (bases 86-529)
Source: RNAcentral
CUAUAACUCCGAGCGUAGUAGUAAAAUAUCUCGCUAGGGAGGUGUCGCGGGUUCCGGCCGUGAAAGCCCAUCUUUUACACAAGGUUGACCUCGGAUCAGGUAGGAAUACCCGCUGAACUUAAGCAUAUCAAUAAGCGGAGGAAAAGAAACCAACAGGGAUUGCCCCAGUAACGGCGAGUGAAGCGGCAACAGCUCAAAUUUGAAAUCUGGCUUCGGCCCGAGUUGUAAUUUGUAGAGGAUGCUUUUGGUGAGGUGCCUUCUGAGUUCCCUGGAACGGGACGCCAGAGAGGGUGAGAGCCCCGUAUAGUUGGACACCGAGCCUCUGUAAAGCUCCUUCGACGAGUCGAGUAGUUUGGGAAUGCUGCUCAAAAUGGGAGGUAUAUCUCUUCUAAAGCUAAAUACUGGCCAGAGACCGAUAGCGCACAAGUAGAGUGAUCGAAAGAUGAAAAGCACUUUGAAAAGAGGGUUAAAUAGUACGUGAAAUUGUUGAAAGGGAAGCGCUUGUGACCAGACUUGUGCCCGGCUGAUC